Gallus gallus (chicken) is the source of this 3368-nucleotide long non-coding RNA. RefSeq lists it as uncharacterized. The transcript is spliced from 3 exons. Lineage: Eukaryota; Metazoa; Chordata; Aves; Galliformes; Phasianidae. The record is from RefSeq and is a predicted model, not a curated record.
AAAUCAGCUCCUCUGGUCCCCUUCCUCCCAGCAGGAGGCUCUGCAGGGUGCAGAAUGCAGCGCCGCACUCCAUCCCACCCCAGCAGCAGGAGGUGCUGAAGGCAGCGUGUGAGAUAUCCCACGGCCCUCAGCCUUAUCUGCCAGCAGGGAAUGCAGCUCCGUGUCCCGUGACUGCUGUGAGCCCUGCCAUGUCAGUACAGAAGCCAUUGAAAGAAGUGGCGUCCAGCACUUUGCAGCUACUGCAGUCCCAUCUUUGUUCCACAGAAGUAUUUGGCUCCCUCCUAAAAAAGAGGGAUUUACUUGAUUCCUGAGUAUUUGGGUGUCUGGUACACAGUGACAUUUUCCUGCUCAGGGGGAGCGAAAGGAACCUUCAUAUUACUGUAUUUAGACCUGCUGCUGGAUGUGAUGAUUUCUCAUUCCUUAAAUGGACGAAUAUCUUCCCCAGGAGUGAGUGAGUGUGUGUGUGUGUGCGUGUGUGUGUCUGCUGUUUAACGUUCACAAAGAACGUCACAUUUAGCUAAAACAGGGCAAAUUUGAAAGUGUUUAAAAGGACAGAUUGGUAUUAAGAGAUGGCACUUUUCAUUGCUCCAAGCCAAGAAUCCUUGUGAAAAGAAAACACUACCGAACACGAGGAUGUAAUGAAAAAGUAUUGUCCUGCCUGUGUACAUUUCAUAUACAUAGAAGGUUUUGAAAAUAGAAAGUGCCUGGACAACAGCAGUUGGUGAAAUGUGGAAAAUAUGUUGCUGAGGUAUGUGCCUUGCAAAGUGACUUAUGAGGUUUACAAUACAACCAUCUCUGAGGGUUCGUUUUUCCCCCUUUUCCUCCAUGUCACCCGUGUUCAAUCCAUUUACCAUUAAAUUUCUACAGAGUAAAAGGUAGAUUUCCUCGACUGCCCUUUUCACUCUCUUAGCUUUUCCUUCUGACAGCCUUUACCAGCUGGAUAGGUCAUGUUUUCUCCUUUCCCCAACCCGAUACAAGUCCCAGCAAAUCCCCUCAUAGCACACAGCUGAAAAAGCUCCAUCUUUGGGCCUCCUGAUGGGGUCCUCUGUACUUUGUUGAAGAGACCAAACCCUCCAGCAGAGAAUUUGGAAGAAGCCAGACCUCCUUAGCAGCUGGUAUUUUGGGGAGUCAUGAGUGUCACUCCUCAGUCUCUCCUUUCUCGUCUCUUAGCAGCACAGCAGGAGUUUUAGGGCAUUUUGGUCUUGAUGAACCACAUAGACUGACUGCUAACUUGUGAUUGUUAUUGUUAUUAUAGCUAAAAACAAGCUUCUCAGAGGAGCUGCUGUGUGAAACGUUUAGCCCACCGGACAGUAGACACUGAGAGUGCCAUCGUGUUAGCUGAAAGAUGUCCAGGUAGUCAACCCUUUUUCUGCACACACAACAAGGCAGCACAAGCAGUCACCCACCCUCUGGCUUACUCAAGGACUGUAUUUUAGUGUAACCAGCCUUGGUUUUGGUACAGAAAGAAGAGUAACAGCACAGGUAGGUGGGUGCACUGGGUUUACUGCAUGGUUUCUAUAGGUUUUUGGUACUGAGAGUGAGUGAAGGGAACCAGUUUCAUCUGAACAGUGUCAUUUGAGCACAGAGCAGUGAAACCCUUUGAGCCCGUGCUCUCCCCUAGGGGAGAUAAUAUCAGGCUGGCACUUUCCAGUAAUUUGAGGAUAUAAAAACUCUCCCUUCAAUAGCUGCAAGAGAAACGUGGGGAGCUCAAAAAAUGAGACAAAGUGGGAAAGGAUUAAGCGAGCCGUGGCUCCUGAUCCUCUUUGUCCAACCCUCCUCACCCCCAGGUGUGAGCAAUUAGCCCUACGUGCACCUUUGUCAGAACCAAGAGGAGUUCUUUUAUUGCCUUUUGCAUGCCCAGGGUGUAACCUAACAGUGUUUGAGAUCAGAAGGGGUGGACUGCAGGGUCCCCUGUGAUCUUGUGCUGUUUGCUGCCCAACGUUUUACAGAGCAUUUUACUUGUAGUGUGCCUCAGUUUUCCCACACGAUGGCAAAAAUACCAUCUGGUGCGUCCUGGGAUGUGACAAAUCAAAGCUACAGAGAAAGCAACUUUAGGAAGCAGAUUUCAUGCUAGGUCCUGCAGCUGACACAAACUCCCAUUACUGGCUGUGCCCCGUGGUGCAGUGAUUGCAGCCCCCUGCCCAGCUGCAGCCACUCUUUGAUUGCCUGGCUCCUAUGGCCUGGACUGCACAGCUGUGGGUGAUGAGCUGAACCACCCUCUGGGCUCAGAGGCAGACAUUUUAGAUGUGGUCUUUGUGCAGUGCAAGUGAGCUGCUCCUGGUAGCUGGUGCUCACGACUGCUGGGUCUGCUGCUCCAAGGCAGUGCUGUAGCAGUGCGGAUGGAAGGACAAAAUCUGCCCUGAAAAAGGACUUUCUCAUCUCCAGUGGCAGUCGCUUCUCUCUGCCAACACGUGGCACGUGCAAGUGACAGCAGCAGGAGGAAGCUAUGCAGGGGCCAGAAUCAAAAUCUCCAGGACCAUGCAGCACAGACAAGGUUGGAGGCAAGAAGAAUUUCAAACCAGGUGCAAAACCGUGAGUGUAAUUGGAAAUUAUAGCUUGCAACCAAUACACACUUUUUUUCUUCUUUGCUCUCCAUCUUCAUGCUGAAAUUGCCAUCCUUUUAAAUAAGAGAGGCAUGAUUUGAGACAUGCAGUGCAUGGGACCUGAGAACCCAGAGCAGCAUGCAUCCUUGUCUAGGAGACCGAGGAAACAGUCAUUUGUUUGAAUGCUGAAGGAUUAUUCUUUCCUAGCUGACAAGCAUAUAUAAAAGCAAUGGGUGCUAUUUUUGCUAUACCUGGCUUGCUAGCUUACAACUCUCUAGAUGAAAAGGAUUUGGACCAUUACCCAAGGAAGCCUCCAAACGUUAAACAUACACCGUGCUGAAACAUGCAAGUCUACAGGCAGGGUAGCAGCAGCCUGAUCUCCCCAUACAGUGGCUUGCUGGGGUGCCUGGGCUAUACAGGUUGCAGCGUGGGCAGAGAGCAAAACAUCUUUCAUAUCCAUUUGUUACGUGCACUUGUGCUCAAACUGCAAAUAAGAGCACCCGUUUGGGGCAUCCAUGGUGAGAUCACUGCGGUGACUGGUGGAAAUUGCACAUGAAGGCUAAUUUAACCAGCUGCCAGUGAAGGAGUAGCUUUCUAUCACUGCUUAAUUUCUAUUAACAGUAGAGUCUGUGACCAGAUCAUUCUGCAUCCCCCCUUGCAAAUGUAUUGUAAAGUCUUCUCCGCUCCUAGGCACACCUGGACAAAUCCCUGCUAUCCACAUCAUCUCCUUCCUCCCUCACUUACAAGAAAUUACAGCCAAACCACCAAGUAUGGAUGCUAUUCUUGUUUGCCUUCAGACAGUACCCCAGGAUAAGGCAUUGUAAA